GACAGAGGGUGCAAACGUUGUUCGGAAUUACUGGGCGUAAAGCGCGUGUAGGCGGCUAAGUAAGUCGGGCGUGAAAUCCCACGGCUCAACCGUGGAAGUGCACUCGAAACUGCAUAGCUAGAGUCCUGGAGAGGAAGGUGGAAUGCUUGGUGUAGAGGUGAAAUUCGUAGAUAUUGGGAGGAACACCGGUGGCGAAGGCGACCACCUGGACGGAGACUGACGCUGAGGCGCGAAAGCGUGGGGAGCAAACAGG
RNAcentral lists this ribosomal RNA (253 nucleotides) under uncultured bacterium. RNAcentral's name for it is "partial 16S ribosomal RNA". It matches the Rfam family "Bacterial small subunit ribosomal RNA", at positions 524 to 776 of the family's 1533-position model. The record is from RNAcentral.